This 160-nucleotide ribosomal RNA is filed under the name Tricholoma virgatum. RNAcentral describes it as "5.8S ribosomal RNA". It matches the Rfam family "5.8S ribosomal RNA". Rfam says of the family: 5.8S ribosomal RNA (5.8S rRNA) is a component of the large subunit of the eukaryotic ribosome. It is transcribed by RNA polymerase I as part of the 45S precursor that also contains 18S and 28S rRNA. The record is from RNAcentral. RNAcentral also lists the same sequence under 1 other name. Lineage: Eukaryota; Fungi; Basidiomycota; Agaricomycetes; Agaricales; Tricholomataceae.
UACAACUUUCAACAACGGAUCUCUUGGCUCUCGCAUCGAUGAAGAACGCAGCGAAAUGCGAUAAGUAAUGUGAAUUGCAGAAUUCAGUGAAUCAUCGAAUCUUUGAACGCACCUUGCGCUCCUUGGUAUUCCGAGGAGCAUGCCUGUUUGAGUGUCAUGA